This 485-nucleotide ribosomal RNA is filed under the name uncultured bacterium. Its description in RNAcentral is "bacterial SSU rRNA". It matches the Rfam family "Bacterial small subunit ribosomal RNA", at positions 28 to 524 of the family's 1533-position model. The record is from RNAcentral.
GACGAACGCUGGCGGCAUGCCUAAUACAUGCAAGUCGAACGCGACCAUCCGGUGCUUGCACUGGUGAAGUCGAGUGGCGAACGGGUGAGUAACACGUGAGAAACCUACCCUGGAGUGGGGAAUAACUCGAAGAAAUUCGAGCUAAUACCGCAUACCUUCUUACCGCCGAAUGGUGGUUUGAAGAAAGAUUUAUCGCUCUGGGAGGGUCUCGCGGCCUAUCAGCUAGUUGGUGAGGUAACGGCUCACCAAGGCAUCGACGGGUAGCUGGUCUGAGAGGACGAUCAGCCACACUGGAACUGAGACACGGUCCAGACUCCUACGGGAGGCAGCAGUAGGGAAUCUUGCGCAAUGGGCGAAAGCCUGACGCAGCAAUGCCGCGUGCGGGACGAAGGCCCCUAGGGUCGUAAACCGCUUUCAGUAGGGACGAAAAUGACGGUACCUGCAGAAGGAGCACCGGCUAACUACGUGCCAGCAGCCGCGGUAAU